UGGGGAAUAUUGGACAAUGGGCGCAAGCCUGAUCCAGCCACGCCGCGUGAGUGAUGAAGGCCUUCGGGUCGUAAAGCUCUGUGGGGAGGGACGAACCGCCGGUGGUUCAUAGCCAACGGCAUGACGGUACCUCCUUAGCAAGCACCGGCUAACUUCGUGCCAGCAGCCGCGGUAAUACGAAGGGUGCAAACGUUGCUCGGAAUUAUUGGGCGUAAAGCGCACGUAGGCGGCAUUGCAAGUCGGAUGUGAAAUCUUAUGGCUUAACCAUAAAAGUGCAUCCGAAACUGCAGUGCUUGAGUACUUAAGAGGAUCGCGGAAUUCCCGGUGUAGAGGUGAAAUUCGUAGAUAUCGGGAGGAACACCAGUGGCGAAGGCGGCGAUCUGGGAAGAUACUGACGCUGAGGUGCGAAAGCGUGGGGAGCAAACA
This 426-nucleotide ribosomal RNA is filed under the name uncultured Haliangium sp. RNAcentral describes it as "bacterial SSU rRNA". It matches the Rfam family "Bacterial small subunit ribosomal RNA", at positions 355 to 774 of the family's 1533-position model. The record is from RNAcentral. Lineage: Bacteria; Pseudomonadati; Myxococcota; Haliangiales; Kofleriaceae.